Molecule: unclassified non-coding RNA, 204 nt
Filed under: Hevea brasiliensis (rubber tree)
Lineage: Eukaryota; Viridiplantae; Streptophyta; Magnoliopsida; Malpighiales; Euphorbiaceae
Source: RNAcentral
CAUUGCACUACCAAAGUCAAUAAUGCGCAUUUUGGUGGUGUAGUUCUUGUCUCUACUGGGAGCUCCUUUCAAGCAUCUUCCAGUCUCCUGGUCUUCAAAGCAUAUCACCAUGUUCUCUGGUUUGAUAUCCCUGUGGGUGAUGUUGCGGUCAUGGCAAGCCUUGACUGCCAUCAACAACUGCCAUAUAAGGUUGCGCAUUUCCUC